Molecule: ribosomal RNA, 2931 nt
Filed under: Phycisphaerae bacterium
Lineage: Bacteria; Pseudomonadati; Planctomycetota; Phycisphaerae
Description: 23S ribosomal RNA
Rfam family: Bacterial large subunit ribosomal RNA
Source: RNAcentral
GGUCAAGCUGGAAAGGGUGCAUGGUGGAUGCCUGGGCGUGCAGAGGCGAUGAAGGACGUUGUAGGCUGCGAUAUGCCCCGGGGAGCCGCCAAACAGGCUGUGAUCCGGGGAUCUCCGAAUGGGGCAACCCGGCGCUGCCGGGCAACCGGACAGCGUCGCGCCCCGCUGAAUGCAUAGGCGGGGCCGGGCGAACCCAGGGAACUGAAACAUCUCAGUACCUGGAGGAAAGGAAAUCAACCGAGACUCCGUCAGUAGCGGCGAGCGAACGCGGAUCAGCCCAUGGCUUCGAGCCAUACGUCGUUGCGAAGUCAGUCGAACGGUCUGGAAAGGCCGACCACAGAAGGUGACAGUCCUGUAGGCGGCAGCGGAGCAACGGCGGUCGAGUAGGUCGGAGCUCGUGGAACUCUGACUGAACCUGCGGGGCCCACCCUGCAAGGCUAAGUACUCCUGCACGACCGAUAGUGGACCAGUAAGGCGACUGAAAGGUGAAAAGCACCCCUGCUAGGGGAGUUCAAAGCACCUGAAACCAUGUACCUACAAGCUGUCGGAGCCCGAUGGCGGGCUUGCCCGCCCGGGUGACGGCGUACCUUUUGCAUAAUGGACCGGCGAGUUACCGUAUGCGGCGAGGCUAAGCGCUUCCGGCGCGGAGCCGCAGCGAAAGCGAGUCUGAAGAGGGCGAAUGAGUCGCAUGCGGUAGACCCGAACCCACGUGAUCUACCCAUGGGCAGGCUGAAGGGAGGGUAAAACCUCCUGGAGGGCCGAAGCCGUGAACGUUGAAAAGUUCUGGCAUGACCUGUGGGGAGGAGUAAAAGUCUAAUCAAACGUGGAGAUAUCUGGUUCUCCCCGAAAUGUCUUUUGGGACAGCCUCGGGCCACUACGCCGCAGGGGUAGAGUUACUGAACGAGAUACGGGGCCUACCCGGCUGCCGUCCUCAAUCAAACUCCGAAUACUGCGGCGACUAUCCCGGGAGUGAGUAUGCGGGCGCUAACGUCCGUGCACGAAAGGGAAACAACCCGAACCGCCAGCUAAGGCCCCCAAGUCCGGCUAAGUGACUAAGGACGUCCGUUUUCACAGACAGCCAGGAUGUUGGCUUAGAAGCAGCCACCAUUUAAAAAGUGCGUAAUAGCUUACUGGUCGAGAAAAUGGGCGCCGAUGAUGAUCGGGACUAAGCCGGGCGCCGAAGCUGCGGGACUGAGAGUCGGUGACAAGUGACACGGGAAGGGCGGCAGCGCAUCUGUCACCUUCCACGUGGCACUUGCCGCCGGCUUUUGGUCGGUAGGGGAGCGUACUACCGGAGAUACAAGCCAUACCGUGAGGAGUGGUGCCGGCCGGUAGUAGUGAGAAUGCCGGUAUGAGUAACGAGAAAGCGGGUGAGAAUCCCGCUCGCCGUAAGCCCAAGGGUUCCUGGGGAAGGUAAAUCCGCCCAGGGUUAGUCGGAACCUAAGCCGAGGCCGAAAGGCGUAGGCGAUGGACAGCAGGUUAAUAUUCCUGCACUCCGUCUGUCGGUUGAACCGGCGGGGACGUUGUCCAGGACCGCAGCCCACUACGAGAAUAGAGGGUGCCCGCAAGGGCGAGGCCGAUUUGUUGCCGAAGUGCGGAAAUGGACAACCGAGAAAAGCCGUCCGGGGACGGCAUGCGGAUCCGUACCAAAACUGACACAGGUGGGCGAGGAGAGUAUCCUAACGGCGCUCGAGAGAACGGUCCUUAAGGAACUAGGCAAUUUGACCCCGUAACUUCGGGACAAGGGGGCCCUACCCCGCGAGGGGAGGGCGCAGAGAAACGGCUCUGGGAACUGUUUAUCAAAAACACAGUUCUGUGCUAACUCGUAAAGAGGAAGUAUACAGAAUGACGCCUGCUCGGUGCCGGAAUGUUAAGGAAGCCGGUCAGCCGCAAGGCGAAGCUGGCGACCGAAGCACCGGUAAACGGCGGCCGUAACUAUGACGGUCCUAAGGUAGCGAAGUUCCUUGUCGGGUAAGUUCCGACGCGCAUGAACGGCGUAAUCACUGGAGCAGUGUCUCAAGGACCGACUCGGUGAAAUUGAAGUCGCGGUGAAGAUACCGUGUACCCGCAGCAAGACGGAAAGACCCCGUGAACCUUUACUGCAGCCUGGUAUGGGCACCCGGUUUCGAAUGCGUAGGAUAGGUGGGAGGCGCUGAGGCUCCGGUUUCGGCCGGAGCGGAGCCGACGGUGAAAUACCACCCUUUCGGCAUUGGUUGUCUAACCCCGACCCGUGAAUCCGGGCGGGGGACAGUGCUAGGUGGGCAGUUUGACUGGGGCGGUCUCCUCCCAAAGCGUAACGGAGGAGUGCAAAGGUCGGCUCAGCACGGUUGGCAAUCGUGCGCAGAGCGCAAGGGUAGAAGCCGGCUUAACUGCGAGACUCAAAAGUCGAGCAGAUGCGAAAGCAGGCCCUAGUGACCCGGUGAUCCCGUGUGGAAGGGUCAUCGCUCAUCUGACAAAAGGUACUCCGGGGAUAACAGGCUGAUCGCCACCGAGCGUCCAUAGCGGCGUGGCGGUUUGGCACCUCGAUGUCGGCCCAUCACAUCCUGGGGCUGAAGGCGGUCCCAAGGGUUCGGCUGUUCGCCGAUUAAAGUGGUACGCGAGCUGGGUUCAGACCGGCGUGAGCCAGGUCGGUCCCUAUCUGCUGUGGGCGUACGAGUCCUGCGGGGCUAUCACCCUAGUACGAGAGGAUUGGGUGGUACGGGCCUCUGGUGCACCAGUUGUCGCGCUAGCGGCACGGCUGGGUAGCUAAGCCCGGACUGGAUAAACGCUGAAAGCAUCUAAGCGUGAAGCCGUCCCCAAGAUGAGGACUCGGUGUUCCCCCGCAAGGGGUUGAACUGAAGGCCCCUGGUAGACCACCAGGUUGAUAGGCCGGAUGUGCAAGGGCAGAAAUGCCUUCAGCUUACCGGUACUAACGGCCGAGGGCUUGACCGC